Molecule: long non-coding RNA, 1046 nt
Organism: Salmo salar (Atlantic salmon)
Lineage: Eukaryota; Metazoa; Chordata; Actinopteri; Salmoniformes; Salmonidae
Source: RefSeq, a predicted model, not a curated record
UAGACAGGCAUUUUCAAGUAUUGCCAUAGAUUUUCAAGCCGAUUUAAAGGGGAAUUUCACCCUGAGGGAAUCUGGGCUUGUUAUCAUCAUUCAGGCAUUUCUAGGUCCGUUAGAUGUGUGUCACACACAAUUUCCCAGGAGCAAGGCAGGUCUAGGCUUCGUGCGCUGAAUGAUACACCGUAUGAUGGCUUCCGGUGUAUUGAUGGGGGACUACAACUCGUGUGGGUCAGUGCUUUGUGCUCUUGCCCCGUCUCUCCCUCAAGGAGAGAGGGAGGCAGAGACUAACACAAUCCUUUGUGCAAAACUGAAAGAAUUGACCAGACCGCAAUGGGUUCAAGGGAUUCCUCUCAUCAGCACAAAUUCAAAAAUUGAGCAUUUUUUGAUGUUCUAUUUGCUACAUGGUGACAUUCAAUCAUACAUGUUUCAACUGGAAUAUAGCGAAUAGGAUUCGAAACAAAGGGUUAGAUUUAGCUAGAAGCUCGGCUACAAAUGAUGCCAGCACCAAGAGGGAAGAUGACAAAUACAGUGGCUAGCUAAACAAUACCUUCUGGCACCUAGGAUUUUUCCUGGAGUGGAUUCUAGAUGGAGAGAAACAGAAUCCCGUGAACUGUAUCCCUCUCAAUGGAUUGGACAUUAUGCUGGAUUUCAAGCAGAAGAUGACUCAAGAGGAUCUGAAUGGCAGUUUGAUCAUGACUGCUGUACAAGUAUUCCCUGAACUUUACUACACUGAUCAUACUGUAUUUUCUUACUGUAUGUUUCUGUGUGAAUGGCAAUUUCAUCAUGACCACCUCUCCCAUCAUCUGUUGAUCACCAGUUCUCUUAGCUACAGAUUGUUACACCAGAUGAUGUGAUUUAACCAAACAGUUCUUGUAUUCAUUACUGGGAGUUACAGGAUAGGUAUUUUCGACAGUCUUAGCUUGGCGAUUCUGUCUUCGUCCUCGAUUUGUGGAAACAGGAGUCUCAUAACAUGUCUGUGUCCAGUUGCAGGUGGUCAGUUUGAAUUUAGAAAACGCUCCAUUAUUAAAAUAAAUAUUUAUUUUGCUCCA